AGCACCUGUUUCCGAGCGGAGAGCGCGGGUCGUUUCCUCUCCUGGUGUCCCGUCGCGGCUUGGGACCCGGCAAGAUGGGCAAGAAGGGCAAGAAGGAGAAGAAGGGCCGCGGCGCGGAGAAGACGGCCGCCAAGAUGGAGAAGAAGGUGUCUAAGCGCUCGCGGAAGGAGGAGACGUGACUGAGCCCAGUCGAAUGACACUGACUGGAGGAAAGCUGAGCGGGCUGUGGCUCUGUGGCGGGUCCUGGGAACAAGUCUCACGUGUGCCUGCUUGCUUGCCCUAGGAAGACCUGGAAGCGCUCAUAGCCCAUUUCCAGACACUCGAUGCCAAGAGGACUCAGACUGUGGAAAUUCCGUGCUCCCCGCCCUCACCAAGACUUCUUUGUAUAACGAGCUCUAUGUCUACAAUAUCAGAAAGGACACCUGGACCAAAGUUGACAUCCCCAGUCCACCUCCGAGGCGCUGUGCUCACCAGGCGGUGGUGGUGCCUCAAGGUGGCGGACAGCUGUGGGUCUUUGGAGGGGAGUUUGCCUCUCCCAACGGAGAG
Molecule: small RNA, 546 nt
Filed under: Pan troglodytes (chimpanzee)
Lineage: Eukaryota; Metazoa; Chordata; Mammalia; Primates; Hominidae
Description: processed transcript
Source: RNAcentral